GAAAUUGAUUAUCAAUGUGGUUUAAUCUAUAGAGCUGCAGUUAUCAACUCGAAAAGUUUAAAGAAAUAUAUUUACAUUGUAAGAAUUAACCUGAUUUGGUCAUCAGUCAAAUGCAUACUGAUUAAAUAAAAUAAUGUAGAAUAUUUCUGUAAAUAGUAUAAACACUAUAAGCUUAAAUACUUUAACUAAAAAACAUUAAUUUUGUUAUUUAUCAGCAUCAAAAUGAAUUUUUCAAUGUUUAUUCUUCUUGGAGCAAUUAUGAUGUUUGUGUCAAUACAAGUAGAAGCAGCAGAUAAUACUACCACUGAAGAAGCGACAACAGCAGGAGAAGAAUAUUGCAUACAAUGUUUCGCAUAUUAUUCCAAAGAAUACUGUGCGUCUAUUGGCAGGGGUCAAGUAGAAGCAACAUGUCAUUCCUGCUCAACAUGUAUUGAAUCCGACUAAUACUUAUCUACAGCCACUAAUAAUCAACAUAUUCAUAUUACAUAGUAGUAAAUUACAAUUGGAAGGCGAUUUGAUUUGUGAUACUAUGUUUACAAUUUAUGUUUUACUUUAAAUAAAUAAAUAAAUAAAUCAAAAUUAAUUUAA
Long non-coding RNA from Dalotia coriaria, 588 nucleotides. RefSeq lists it as uncharacterized. The record is from RefSeq and is a predicted model, not a curated record. Lineage: Eukaryota; Metazoa; Arthropoda; Insecta; Coleoptera; Staphylinidae. The transcript has 3 exons.